AUUGAGCGCUGGCGGCAGGCCUAACACAUGCAAGUCGAAUGGUAACAGGAAACAGCUUGCUGUUUCGCUGACGAGUGGCGGACGGGUGAGUAAUGUCUGGGAAACUGCCUGAUGGAGGGGGAUAACUACUGGAAACGGUAGCUAAUACCGCAUAACGUCGCAAGACCAAAGAGGGGGACCUUCGGGCCUCUUGCCAUCAGAUGUGCCCAGAUGGGAUUAGCUAGUAGGUGGGGUAACGGCUCACCUAGGCGACGAUCCCUAGCUGGUCUGAGAGGAUGACCAGCCACACUGGAACUGAGACACGGUCCAGACUCCUACGGGAGGCAGCAGUGGGGAAUAUUGCACAAUGGGCGCAAGCCUGAUGCAGCCAUGCCGCGUGUAUGAAGAAGGCCUUCGGGUUGUAAAGUACUUUCAGCGGGGAGGAAGGGAGUAAAGUUAAUACCUUUGCUCAUUGACGUUACCCGCAGAAGAAGCACCGGCUAACUCCGUG
This 490-nucleotide ribosomal RNA is filed under the name uncultured bacterium. RNAcentral's name for it is "partial 16S ribosomal RNA". It matches the Rfam family "Bacterial small subunit ribosomal RNA", at positions 30 to 507 of the family's 1533-position model. The record is from RNAcentral.